CCAGAGAAUUUAGCAGAGAUGCUUUAGUGCCUUCGGGAACUCUGAGACAGGUGCUGCAUGGCUGUCGUCAGCUCGUGUUGUGAAAUGUUGGGUUAAGUCCCGNAACGAGCGCAACCCUUAUCCUUUGUUGCCAGCACGUAAUGGUGGGAACUCAAAGGAGACUGCCGGUGAUAAACCGGAGGAAGGUGGGGAUGACGUCAAGUCAUCAUGGCCCUUACGAGUAGGGCUACACACGUGCUACAAUGGCGCAUACAAAGAGAAGCGACCUCGCGAGAGCAAGCGGACCUCAUAAAGUGCGUCGUAGUCCGGAUUGGAGUCUGCAACUCGACUCCAUGAAGUCGGAAUCGCUAGUAAUCGUAAAUCAGAAUGUUACGGUGAAUACGUUCCCGGGCCUUGUACACACCGCCCGUCACACCAUGGGAGUGGGUUGCAAAAGAAGUAGAUAGCUUAACCUUCGGGAGGGCGUUUACCACUUUGUGAUUCAUGACUGGGGUGAAGUCGUAACAAGGUAGGCGUAGUGCU
RNAcentral lists this ribosomal RNA (522 nucleotides) under uncultured bacterium. RNAcentral's name for it is "bacterial SSU rRNA". It matches the Rfam family "Bacterial small subunit ribosomal RNA", at positions 988 to 1509 of the family's 1533-position model. The record is from RNAcentral.